Molecule: transfer RNA, 65 nt
Filed under: Euwallacea fornicatus
Lineage: Eukaryota; Metazoa; Arthropoda; Insecta; Coleoptera; Curculionidae
Description: tRNA-Leu
Rfam family: tRNA
About the family: Transfer RNA (tRNA) molecules are approximately 80 nucleotides in length. Their secondary structure includes four short double-helical elements and three loops (D, anti-codon, and T loops).
Source: RNAcentral
AUUACUUUGGCAGAAUAGUGUGAUAGAUUUAGAAUCUUUUUAUAUAGAUAAAACUAUAGGUAAUA